CCCCCCCAAAAAAGCGGGUUUGGGAAAGCUGCAUCUCUGCUGCGAUACAAGAACUCUUUCAAACUGUUUUCCCCUUUCAGAGCAAAAAAAGAAAAAACUCCGGAUGAACUUUACUGCGACACAUCGUUCCUCGCGCGGCCGUGCGCGUGAUGCGUGUGACCGCGGGACUUGUGUCCUAACCUACCACCCGCUCCUCCAUCAUCCACUUCUUGCGCCCUGCGGGACUUGUUGCGUGUCCCGCGUCCACGGAAGUCCCGCCCCACGCGAGGCGGCCGACACCGCGCCGGGUUCCUCACUUCGUCCAGUUCGGGGACGCGCGGCGCAGAGCGACACUUCUCAGACGGAAACUUUUUAAGUUAUUUACAUUUUGAAAAAGUGUCUCAGUUUGUUGGAAUUCUGUGGAUUGAACUGAAAGUGAAAACGUUGCGGAAUCAGCGUGACAAUGUUGUUUUGUUUCCUCACGGUGGUCGAAAGCGUCCCGGUUAAUCUCCCGAAUCCAAGCUGUCAAUUUACAUUAUAAUAAUUUUAUUCAACGGUCCUCCAAAGUAAAAUAAAUGCAAAAUAUAAUAAUAUUUGUAAAAUGAUAUGCAGUGUUGUUUGCUGGGUAAAAUAUGAUGCUGGUGGAAGUUCAUGUUCAACGUUAAAUUGUGGCGUGGUCAUGGAUGGCAUGUUUAGAAUGAUCUGUUUCAUAAGGGUCUAAUGUUUGUUGAUAAACAAUAACCACGGCGUGAAGAAAUUGGUCAUAAAAUGUGUUCUGGUCUCUUAUUGCAGGUAAGAACCAACCUCUCUGCUAACUGAAGCCGAAGUGUGUUAAAACUUGAAUUAUCUUCACUGACCAGCAGGGGGCGACUGCUCCAGGUUGCAACAUGGAGGUCACCCAACUUCUGACUGGAUUUAUUCCCUCAGCAAACAUUGUAAAGAGACGUACCCAGGAUUGAAAUAAGCCACCUGACCCCUUAAUUCCAAUCUGAUGGUUUUGCAUGCGACUGCGCUCUUUAUGGAGUCUUCAUUCAUGGGGAACUGCCUGGUCAAGGUUGCACCCCAGAUGCCAGCGGGCCCCAGACCAAACAGGCCCGCAGCCUGGGAGACUGCUGCUGUGUGACAUCACUUCCUGCCAUUGUGUGGAGAACGCUGAGUCGUACAAGAGAGCGGGGCCAGUAACAUCCCAAUCAAGUGUCUGGCUGCCGUCAGACCGACAAGAAAAACAGAACUUACAAUUAGAGGAAAACAACAGACUUUAGGCCAGACGUAUGAGUCAUAAGAGAUAAAGACACGGCAGUUGCUUAUGUCUUGGCCUGGUGGACAAUAAAAAAUGAUCUAUUUUUGACUAUACGAGACAAACAGCAUUUAUUUUGAAUGGGAUCAACCAUAUUCAUCUUUGAAUGGAUGGGAACAAUUCCAAAAUAUGGAAAAAUGUAAGUUGUCUUCUGCCCCCAAGUGGCCAAUGAAAUAUCAACUGUGUUUUAAGAAAACUACAAUGAAACAUAUUGCAUGAGUUUGAAAAAAGAAAGAUUAGGAAAAAUAUGAGUCUCACAACUGCAUGUUAUACGCUAUGCUGGCAAGUCCACAGUUAAUUGCAGACAUUCCUCCUCUGUCGUUCCAAUGUGAAGGCUCCUGACAACACCCCUCUUGCUGCUGCAGAAUGGUACGUCCCAAUUAUCCAAUUUACCUAUUCAUGGAUGCGCGAUGCAGCUGCUCCACCUUUUGCAAGGUUACUAUAUAUUUGAGUCUGUCUAACAAGUGUCUGAAUUUAAAUGGAGGAAAAAGCAGUCCGGCCAGUUGGAGCAGCCACUCGGAUAUUAAUAUUGAUAUCAGCCUCAAAAAUCCAGUAUCGGUCAUGCUUUAAACAACAUGCAUAAUGUAGCUUAGCAGUUCCCAAACCUGGAGUGGGGAUCCAAACAGAGGUGCUCAAUAUGAAUCCCUUGUUUGGCAAAAUAGAAAAAAAGAAAUUUGUAUUUUGUAUUGUUGUUUUUUUUUUCUUCAGUCGAAACCAGAUAAAAAUAUGAAAGGA
Long non-coding RNA from Gasterosteus aculeatus aculeatus (three-spined stickleback), 2011 nucleotides. The record is from Ensembl. NCBI's taxonomy places the organism in Eukaryota, Metazoa, Chordata, Actinopteri, Perciformes, Gasterosteidae.